AACGCACGCUAGGGUUACCGCGGCUGCUGGCACGGAGUUAGCCGGUGCUUCUUCUGUGAGUGAAUGGUCCUUCCUCGCCGGUCUACUUAACCCGCAAGGCCUUCUUCCUCCACUGAAAGUGCUUUACAACCCGAAGGCCUUCUUCACACACGCGGCAUGGCUGGAUCAGGGUUGCCCCCAUUGUCCAAUAUUCCCCACUGCUGCCUCCCGUAGGAUCUGGGCCGUGUCGUCAGUCCCAGUGUGGCUGAUCAUCCUCUCAGACCAGCUACGGAAUCGUCGCCUUGGUGAGCCGUUACCCUC
This 300-nucleotide ribosomal RNA is filed under the name uncultured bacterium. RNAcentral's name for it is "partial 16S ribosomal RNA". The record is from RNAcentral.